UCCUUUUACUCACUGCAAACAGGUACAGAUCUAAACCCCUAUGCGGUUAAGGGCUUUUGCAUUCUAUUCCCUUCCCUUCCCUUCCCUCUCUUUCUCCCUCCUAGGUUUAGGGCUUUUGGAUGAGAUUCGACAUAUGUUCUUCAGUGAUGGAGGCGAUUAUUAAGAUGUGGUGGCGUUGAAUUCGUAACUUGCAUUUCCUCUUCUUGUGAACUAAUUUGGAUGACUUCACUCCGGAGGAGCUUCAUACUUGGAGUGUGUUUUAAGAAACAUGGCCAGCAAAACCAUUAAAGUACAGUUUGUUUAUUGUCUGAAAUGUCGGAAGCUUCUAACAGAGUUGAGCAAACAUCUGGUGAUACUCCUGAUACUUGUUUUUUAGUCUGAUUUUGUACACAUCUGGUGAUACUCCUGAUACUUGUUUUUUAGUCUGAUUUUGUACACAUUCCCCUUCUAUGAUACUCCUGAGUUAAAGGAGACUGUUUCAGUGGCAAACAAUGUAUGUUGGGCAAUUGGAGAACUGGCAGUUAACAUCAGUUAUCUUGCUGAAUUCCAAGUUAAACACAUAAUUUCAGUGGACUGCAGGGUUUUAUCUUGUUCUUUUUGGAGGCUUCAGGCAAUAUUUUGAUCACUUUCUAGCAUAGCCCAAAUAUUUCUUGAAUGAGGGAAUCUUCAUGGCAGGGCCGAUCUCUUGCAUGGCUUGCAUUUUCAAGGGACAUGGUUUUGUUGAUGGGAUGGAUAGCUUUGCAUGUGAUCAUUUUGCCUUUAGAAUAGUGAUACCACAAAAAUCAGUGCGUUUAUCACUUUCAAAGCACACCACCUCUUAUGCGAAUGUGUACUAUUAAGCAAGGGGGUGGAAUCAUCUUAAUCUACUCUUUACUCUUCUUACACAAUUUGGUUUUAAUUGCCCCGUAUGCAUUUGAUAUGAUUUCCGUUUUAGUUGGUCUUUGGCUCUUUCAUUAGCUGUGUCUAUAGAAACCAUUUGCCAGCGAGAUUCAAAUGUUGAUACCAUAACCUACAGAUGUGUGAGAUUUCCUAGUAGCUUAAUUUAGCACUAUUUGGAUAUGUAAAUUAACUUAUGAGCAGAAUGUUUUGCUCAAUGUUGUUUAAAUCCUACAGUUUUCUGUUCGGAUCCUAUGAUCUAAUUGAAAUCUCAGAGGGGGCUGAAUUGCCUUUAGGGAAGAUGAUGAAAUGUCUGAAAUCCCAAAGAACGAAGAAAACGUCUGAUGGACAGCCCGGAUCUCUUACAAUGUCCUAUGUUGGAACAUGGGCAGCAUCUGGGUUGUGGUGACCAUAGAUGGUGGAUGCAAGAAUGCAUUGUUUCUACAUUUGAAUGUGUCUAGAUGCCCAAUAGAAAUGUCAUUUAUGUAUAGACUGUUGAGGUUGCUUAUGCUGUUUCUAAUCCAGAUGUGUUUGAGUGGUUUUGCUUCUUUGCAGCUGCAGUCAUCAGGAUGGAAGACAGAACGUCUUCUAUCGUCUUUGAUUGUUUGGAGGGAACAUUGGAUUCAUGGUCCUUCGAAUGAAAAGAUCAACUAGAUGGGUAUCCAAUCUAAGUGUAGUUUGCAAUCAUCCAAUCACCCUGCCAUGUUUACUUUGCCUCAGUCUGCCUAAUUAAGGAUCCUGGCCUGACUCAGUCAACUAGCAAGUACUAGAGGCUUGGAGAGUUUAAAUAAGUCACGACUGGGUGCUUCAAGUUGAAUACUUGUAAAUCAAAUACUACAAAUCAAAAUAUCCAUGCAUAUGGUAUCGUGCUUAUUGUAAUGGAAAUUUUAUUAAACAAGUGUCAAAAAAGGCAACAGAGAAUACAACAAUAGCACAACCACUAGGCCCUUCUCAAUCUAGUCAUUCCCUGCAUGUGGCGCUCCCUCAUCAAAAGUCACACCCUCUAUAUACCAGUGCAGGGUAUGAUACUAUGGUCCUUUGACAAACCACUUGCCACUUAUCCUAUAGCUUUUUCUUGGAUUAUAUGUUCUCCUUGUUGUUUUCUUUUGCACAUACACAUAAUUCUGUAAAUUACAAUCCACUAUUUAAAUAAAUGUUUUUUUUUUUAAAAAAAAAAAAAAAAAAAGCUACAAUACACUAUUUAAUACUGCACUGUAUUAUCCAAAGAUAUUAUUAUUAAGUUGGUAUUACUUAUAAUCCAUGGAUCUAAUAUGGACACUCAAAAUCUUUAGAUCAUUCUGAUUUCAAGGUGGCUCCAUAUGCAAUAAGCCCAAUGAUCUAACUGGUCUGGAUCAACAUACAAGCAUGCAAUGAGUCACUGCCAUUUAAUGUGGUGUGACAGGUCUAGCUUUAGAUGAAAAUGAACAAAAGUUUUACGAAAUAAUCAUUCAUUCCAGAUUUCUUUCUGAUUACUAUGGUUGCUAGUUUCCUAAUAGUUAUUUGGA
This is a long non-coding RNA of Magnolia sinica, 2381 nucleotides long. RefSeq lists it as uncharacterized. The transcript has 6 exons. The record is from RefSeq and is a predicted model, not a curated record. Lineage: Eukaryota; Viridiplantae; Streptophyta; Magnoliopsida; Magnoliales; Magnoliaceae.